RNAcentral lists this ribosomal RNA (786 nucleotides) under uncultured archaeon. Its description in RNAcentral is "bacterial SSU rRNA". It matches the Rfam family "Archaeal small subunit ribosomal RNA", at positions 85 to 876 of the family's 1478-position model. The record is from RNAcentral.
ACGGCUCAGUAACACGUAGCUAAUCUACCCUUGAGUCAGGCAUACCCUCGGGAAACUGAGGUUAAUACCUGAUAGAAGAUAUGCCCUGGAAUGACUUAUCUUUUAAAUUCGUGCUCAAGGAUGAGGCUGCGGCGGAUUAGGUUGUUGGCGGGGUAAUAGCCCACCAAGCCGAAGAUCCGUAAGGGCUCUUAGCGGAGAGGCCCUGAGAGGGAAUCUGAGACACUAUUCCCAGCCCUACGGGGUGCAGCAGUUAAGAAUCUUCUGCAAUGCGCGCAAGCGUGACAGAGCGAGCCAAAGUGCGUUUCAAAUUGAAACGCUUUUUUCAGAUCUAAAAAGUCUGGAGAAUAAGGACUGGGUAAGACGAGUGCCAGCCGCCGCGGUAAUACUCGCGGUCCAAAUCGCAGCCAUUUUUAUUGGGUCUAAAACAUCCGUAGCCUGUUUGGUAAGUUCCUUGUGAAAUUCUAUGUCUCAAGCAUAGAGCGUGCAAGGAGUACUGCCUCACUAGAGACCGGAAGAUGUAGGAAGUACGUUCGAAGUAGCGGUAAAAUGUUUUAAUCUCGAGCGGACUCACAAUAGCGAAGGCAUCCUACAAGGACGGUUCUGACAGUAAGGGAUGAAGGCUAGGGGCGCAAAACGGAUUAGAUACCCGUGUAGUCCUAGCAGUAAACACUGCACACUAAACAUCAGUACCUCCUCGAGAGGUAUUGGUGCUGAAGGGAAGCCGAAGAGUGUGCUACCUGGGAAGUAUAGUCGCAAGGCCGAAACUUAAAGGAAUUGGCGGGGGAG